GCCGUCUUCGCUCAGCUUCUGGUCCACCCAGCUGCAAAAGCGGUUCUCUAUAUUCCACGACCCCUCCCCGUGCCUCAGCAGAAACAGUUUGUACUUCGACAUCCCGGGUAUCGUCACUGCAGAGACAAGAACCGUUGGCCUUGAAGUCGAAGGACUCCUUCUGCUUGGAGCCCAGCAGAGCCCCCAGCAUGGCUUCGGCCGAAAUCCUCACCCUCUUCAGGUUGGGCCUCUUCAGUUUACCCUUCAGCUCGAAGAUCUUCUGGGACAGGUUUUCAAUCUGUCCCGGGGCAAAGCUCAUUUUUCAGUUACGGUCGCCGGAUUUAGAAAUAGGCAAAACCGGACAACAUGCACAGAUGCUGGAAGCGUAAUCGCGAACGGGGUUGGGAGCUGUCGGGGCUGGAGGAGGGGGUUCCCCUUGGAUCUGAAGGACAGCGGGGGGGUCCUCUCGGAAACGACAUUGGACGUUGGACAGGCGGACUGGGAAAUCAUUGACACAUUAAUUAAUUUAAACUACCACUAAAUUUCCUCCAUCAAUUACUGAGACCGGACAAACUAGACCUGUACAACUAAUUUGAAGACCAAACAUUCCGAUUGAAAACUGGACAUUUAUCAACCCUAGUUUCAUUGUGGAAAAUAAAGUCUCACCCUCUUUACAGUAA
Anguilla rostrata (American eel) is the source of this 659-nucleotide long non-coding RNA. RefSeq lists it as uncharacterized. NCBI's taxonomy places the organism in Eukaryota, Metazoa, Chordata, Actinopteri, Anguilliformes, Anguillidae. The record is from RefSeq and is a predicted model, not a curated record. The transcript has 2 exons.